Papaver somniferum (opium poppy) is the source of this 710-nucleotide long non-coding RNA. RefSeq lists it as uncharacterized. The transcript is spliced from 2 exons. Lineage: Eukaryota; Viridiplantae; Streptophyta; Magnoliopsida; Ranunculales; Papaveraceae. The record is from RefSeq and is a predicted model, not a curated record.
CAUCCCAGUUCCUUUUUACACCCACCCACUAGUCAUUUGGGCGUCACUUGUUACUAAACCACCAUCAAACACACUCCAUCUUCCUUUACAAAACCCCCCCACUGCCACUCAUCUCUUUUACUGUAACCUACACCUUCAAAGAAACGAGCAUUUCAUCUCUAUCCCAUUUUGAAAAAAAAGCUAGUAGAUCCAAACGAGAAGAACCAAUGUCUUUGUUGUUAAAAGUUCCAGAAGAUGUUCACGAUGAGAUCUUUUUGAAGUUACCAGCGAAAUCCAUCUUGGUAUCUAGGAGUAUGGAGUAAAAGAAUCAUGGAUCAAAAAAUAUACCGCUACCUCAACCCAACUACCAAGUCGCAUUACAUUUUGGAAGCCGCUAUGGAGUUUCGAAAAUGGGAAAGUUCUAGUAGAAUAUUGUCUCAAAAAUUUACUUUUGUGUGUUCAAUCAAAUGAAAGAGUUGAAUCAGUGGUGGUUGGUGUUGCGGAUAUGUUUAAUAACCGAGAGACUUAUGUGGAGAGCAUAGUCUCACUUGGCUCUGGUACUUAUCUGGAGAAACGGAUUACAGAUGGGAAUGUGAUGAAUCCCGAGUGACAACAGUUGAGGUAAAAAAAUCAUGUUGCGUAUUUGUUUUAUUAUUUCAGCUGUUAUAUUAUUGUGUCUGCAGUUACAUCACCACUUUACUAAAUGAUGAAAAGUAAUUAUUACUGUGUUA